Non-coding RNA from Nicotiana tabacum (common tobacco), 350 nucleotides. The record is from RefSeq and is a predicted model, not a curated record. NCBI's taxonomy places the organism in Eukaryota, Viridiplantae, Streptophyta, Magnoliopsida, Solanales, Solanaceae.
UAAAAAUUUAAAGAAAAUUGAUGUACUUGUAAAUCGCACUAUAUUGCGUAGGUGGAGUUGCCAAAGGAAGUACCAAAAUUGAGCAGACCAUUUCUGGGAUUUACAAGGACAGCAGAGAUAUGGAAUUCUAGAGCUUGUAUGAUUGGUCUUAUUGGGACAUUCAUUGUGGAACUGAUUUUCAACAAGGGAAUUCUUCAAAUGAUUGGCGUAGAUAUUGGAAAAGGCCUUGAUAUUCCACUCUAAUAGUUGUAUAUGUUUAAUUUCUUCAUGCACAAACUCCAAUUCUGUUGCCUAUGUAUUCAGUAAUGUACAACAGCGAAAAAUUCAUAAUUCAAGAAAAUUUGGAAAUC